RNAcentral lists this ribosomal RNA (421 nucleotides) under uncultured bacterium. Its description in RNAcentral is "bacterial SSU rRNA". It matches the Rfam family "Bacterial small subunit ribosomal RNA", at positions 355 to 786 of the family's 1533-position model. The record is from RNAcentral.
UGGGGAAUAUUGCACAAUGGGCGGAAGCCUGAUGCAGCGACGCCGCGUGAGGGAUGACGGCCUUCGGGUUGUAAACCUCUUUCGGUAGGGACGAAGCGUUUUGUGACGGUACCUACAGAAGAAGCGCCGGCCAACUACGUGCCAGCAGCCGCGGUAAGACGUAGGGCGCGAGCGUUGUCCGGAUUUAUUGGGCGUAAAGAGCUCGUAGGCGGCUUGUUGCGUCAGCUGUGAAAGCCCAUGGCUUAACUGUGGGUUGGCAGCUGAUACGGGCAGGCUAGAGUUCGGUAGGGGAGACUGGAAUUCCUGGUGUAGCGGUGAAAUGCGCAGAUAUCAGGAGGAACACCGGUGGCGAAGGCGGCUUGCUGGGCCCUGUCCUGACGCUGAGGAGCGAAAGCGUGGGGAGCGAACAGGAUUAGAUACC